RNAcentral lists this ribosomal RNA (274 nucleotides) under uncultured bacterium. RNAcentral describes it as "partial 16S ribosomal RNA". It matches the Rfam family "Bacterial small subunit ribosomal RNA", at positions 523 to 796 of the family's 1533-position model. The record is from RNAcentral.
CUACGGAGGGUGCAAGCGUUACUCGGAAUCACUGGGCGUAAAGCGCGCGCAGGCGGCCAUUUAAGUUGGAUGUGAAAGCCUACGGCUCAACCGUAGAACUGCAUCCAAAACUAUUUGGCUAGAGUGUGGGAGAGGAAGAUGGAAUUAGUUGUGUAGGGGUAAAAUCCGUAGAGAUAACUAGGAAUACCAAAAGCGAAGGCAAUCUUCUGGAACACUACUGACGCUGAGGCGCGAAAGCGUGGGGAGCAAACGGGAUUAGAAACCCCAGUAGUCC